AUGUUGACUUUCUACAAUAUAGUACAUACUGAAAUUAUUUUAAAAAAAAAUCUCGUAAGUCUUUUGAUUAGCUACAGAUAUAUAAUGUACUCCUAUCAUUUCAUGAUUUUUCAGAUUGCAACAAAAAUGGCACAGAGAUUGGGUAUACAUGCGCAUGACUCUUUGAGACCGACGAUGGACGUGUAAGCUGCAAGUUGUUGAUAAAUGUAAAGCACAAGAAAGCAGAACAUGCAAGAUAUCAUCUUUCUCAAUGGGCGAGGAAAUGAAGUCAUAUGCAAAUAAUUUUGCAUACAAUACUUUUUGCAUAUACAACUAGAUCCAACUUCCACAACACCAUCUGGAUAGUUGCGUCAGGUCGAAGGAUCUUAACUUUCGAAGAAGCUCGGGGGUGUUGAGUUAGCUGUACUUGGUAACCAUUUGAUGGAAAGCAGAUCUAUUUUUAUCUGGGAGAAAUAGUACUGAGCAAAACUAUAAAUCUUAAUUUCUAGCUAGCCUAGUCAUCUCUGUCAUUUCGAGGUAGUAAGAUCAACCUUUUUUGAUUUCACAUCUAAUGUAAUGCUGAAAAGAAAGCUCUCUUCCUAAAAUCUGAAUUUGAUUGUUUUCUUGCUUUGCACGGUGCUUUUAUUCAUCUGUACAUCUGUGCAUUCUCUAUCGAAUGCAUUUUUAGUGCAACAAUUUGCUUACGUGUGGCUUUCAUUUAAGCAAGAUUCAAAUACUUGUAGUGGAUGAACUUAUCUUCAUUUUCUUAUUUGUUAAAAGGUUUCAGCGGGAAGAAGUUCAGAUUGUAGCUCGCUUUUGAGUUUGCAACAUAUACAUCUUUUGAUAGCCACCAUGUGCAUGGAAGAAGAAUAACUCAAAGUAUAGCUUGUUACCAUUUCCCAUUUACGGGCCAUGUGGUGAUUUUUUUUUUUUUUUUUUUGGGGACAUGUAUAGGAGUUGGACGAGGAUAUAUUGCAAGAGGGUCAUGUGAUGAUACAGUACAAUAUACAGGACUCUGGACUCAAAGUUCACUCUACAUAAAUCUUGAACAUUUGGAGCAAGCUUGAAAAUAAAUGGAGAGGAAUAUAAGUUUUAAGGCACAAGACACUGUGAUCUUGGAGCCGAGCGUGGAAGUGAAAGUUCGCAAGAUUUGGGCUGUCUAGGGUCCCAUGUAUUGCUGCUGGAAAUUUUGUUCUUUUCUUUUUUAUUCUCUGCCGCAUAUAUACGAAGAGGUGCAAUUCCAAUUGAAUAUGCAACUAGCACUUUGCAGCUGACUCCUAUGCAGCUGCACGUUUCUAGCUUUUAGUGAAUAAGACAUAGUUAUGAUGGAAUUAGUGAAUAAGACACUCCACAAACAUCAUUAUAACUAUAGUGAAUUAGUGGAUACCUUAAUCUCUUAUUUUCUUAUCUUAAAACUAUAUUUGCGCAAGAUUUUGUUUUCCUAUGAUGUAAUGUUUGAUGUUAUCCUUAAUCUAUUGGAUCCGAAACUCUUGAUUGCUUAGUGAUAUU
Long non-coding RNA from Lycium ferocissimum, 1488 nucleotides. RefSeq lists it as uncharacterized. The record is from RefSeq and is a predicted model, not a curated record. The transcript has 4 exons. Lineage: Eukaryota; Viridiplantae; Streptophyta; Magnoliopsida; Solanales; Solanaceae.